UCAGCCCCCAGACGUGUCACAGGAGUGUCUGCGUUUGCACGCAAGAGGCUUCUGAAGAGACCUUCAGCACAGCUCUGCCGAGACACUGCCUGUGCUGGGGUGAGGAACCCCCCUGGCAGAAGUGAGUGAGUGCGUGAACGAGGGAAGGAGUGAAAGACUGCCUGUCAGACUGCACUACCUGUGUGUUAAUCUGACCACUUCAGACAACGAGUACCACACAGAACCCAUGUUGUUCCAAGAUGUGAAUUCACAUACAAAGCAAGCUAUUCUUGAGCCAUGGAAGAGGGCCACCAACAGCGAAUGGCUUCAGCAAAGUCAAGCCAACUUCUUUCCAAGGCCUCACACAUUAGUUCACGCCGAGUCUGACCAUCUGAGUUCCUUGGAAGUGAAUGCAAAUGCCUACGUGAAGCCCAAGCAAGCUGGACUUUUUGUGAAACAUUACUAAUUAUAUUUAUAUGGUGGUAGCACUCAGGAACUGCUGACCAUAGAGUAAACAUAGUUUCUGCCUGAAGGCCAGAAGGUACAGUUCUGUACAGAAAAUACUUCAUAGAAGUUGUAUUACCAUCAGCGUGGUCUUGCUCUGCAAAUCUACUUAAUCUAUGUAUUUAGAGUCAUGUGCGCUUUAGUGACGUAAUAAA
Non-coding RNA from Phasianus colchicus (ring-necked pheasant), 638 nucleotides. NCBI's taxonomy places the organism in Eukaryota, Metazoa, Chordata, Aves, Galliformes, Phasianidae. The record is from RefSeq and is a predicted model, not a curated record.